Non-coding RNA from Erythranthe guttata (spotted monkey flower), 434 nucleotides. The record is from RefSeq and is a predicted model, not a curated record. NCBI's taxonomy places the organism in Eukaryota, Viridiplantae, Streptophyta, Magnoliopsida, Lamiales, Phrymaceae.
AAAGGAAACACAAUUCAUCUCCGUUAAAGCAGUCGACGCCGUCUACGGCUCUCGGAGGGUUUGGAUUGCGAAUUUGGGAAUCAUUUCUUCUCAAAACUCGGAGAGAACCGCGAGUGUUAUAAGUUAUAACUUAUAAAUGCCAAAUUUGCAGUUGAGGCUAAAGUUUAGUUGGUGGCUCUACUGAUAAGGCACCCAAUUUCAGGCACCCGUAGAGAGGCAGAGGCAGUUGAAGCUAAUGAUAUUACUUCAAUCAAGUUCCAGGUGUGAAUGUUAUCAGCCGUUUUAAGUUCAAUUUAAUCGGCGAGGCAGUGUUUGGUUUCUUUGGUUGCUACUGUAUAUAGAUUGAUCACUGAUUUAAUUCACUUGUAAACAAUUAAUUAGCUAGGUGCUAAUAUGUAGUAACCAGCUAUCAAUUCAAUUUUUUUUCCUCACAA